ACAACAGCGGCGCCCACCUGCCCGCAACGGACUCCCAGGAGCCUCGAGCUCCUCAUUUCCAAAGCUGAACUGCCCCGUGUCUGAUUCCGAUUUCUCUUGAGCGCGUUUCGGAGCCGGCCCAGAACAGAGGGAAGCCAGACACACCAUACCCGGCCCAACAGUGGCAGGGCGGCUGCGGGUGCUGGUCAAGCUGGGUCACCCGGCACUGAGUGACGAUCAGCAAAUACUCAGUGGACGAAAUAUUUGCAGUGCAGUGAGGUGAGGGGCAUAACCGCGGAGCGUAUUCGAAGAGAUGAGAGAGACUGGGGAUUAGGCCAGGCUUGAAGGGAAGAAUGGUUUGAGCACCGAGGACAAGAAUUAAUUCCCCAGGCCUGGGUUCCAGCCUUGUGCGGCUAUCACGUGCUUGAAACCUGGCUAGUCCGGAGUGAGAUGCGCUUUACGUGUAAAAUACAGGAUUCCAAAGACGUCGUAUAAAAUAAUUUGUAUAUUGUUUGCAUGUUAGGUAACAUUUUUAAUGUAUUGGAUUAAAUAAAAUGCAUUAAAAUUAUUUUUACAUUCC
This 559-nucleotide long non-coding RNA is filed under the name Homo sapiens (human). RNAcentral's name for it is "HSALNT0406507". The record is from RNAcentral. Lineage: Eukaryota; Metazoa; Chordata; Mammalia; Primates; Hominidae.